This is a long non-coding RNA of Motacilla alba alba, 1180 nucleotides long. RefSeq lists it as uncharacterized. NCBI's taxonomy places the organism in Eukaryota, Metazoa, Chordata, Aves, Passeriformes, Motacillidae. The record is from RefSeq and is a predicted model, not a curated record. The transcript has 7 exons.
UUAGAGACAGGGAAGAAACUGCUGCUGGAAGCACAGCAGCACAGCGAGGCAGGAAGGGGAUGAGCAUGGCCUGAAAUCGCAGCUGCUGCAUUGAGGUGUUUAUGGCCUGUGGCUGUGCCCGUGCAAGACGUGGGCUGAGUUUCCAGCCUUGCUGAUUCUCCUCAGGUCUCAUGACAUCUGCUGUUUCCUCCCUGAGAGCCCCAGGCUGCAAGUGUGUAGCUGGAGGAGACUCAUCAGUGCAGCACGAGGUUCCCGUGUCCCAUUCUCCAGGGCAGCCACAGGCUGGUGCCAAGGGCUGUGACUGCCUGUGUCUCACUCACUGCUCUCCAUCCCUCCCCAAGCCCCCCACCAGAGAAGAAAACUCUGCUCUGCCUGCUGCAGUGCUGCUGCACCUUGCUGUCAGGAGCUUCCCUGAAGGAUGAAUUUGUGGUGUAGAAGUGGCUACUGAGACUGAAAGUGUCUGUCUUGACAGAGACCUUGUUCUUCCCAAGCAGACAGCCGAAACGCUGAUCUGAUCCUGCAGAACAUCGUGGCACCGGCGGCUCCCAGCCUGCAGAGACACUGAGCUCAGGGAAGGGCAAGUUUGCAGCAGAGUGCAGACACAAAGCUGUUGGCUAACAUUUCCUACACAGCAGCCUGCAGAUACAGGAUGGCACGUUCUGGGCUCGAACUCCUGUUCCUGUGAAGAUGGCUUGCUGCAUCUCAACCUUCUGACGUUGAAACAGAGAUGCCUCCAUCAGCUCUCUUGGCAAGGCUCCUUGCCUCUUCUCGGAACACCCACACCCGAGCAGCUUGUCUGUGGGUUUUCAGUGAACUGCCGGGGAAGCUGCUUUGUGACAAAAGUGGUUUUGAGCCCUUUUCUGCGCGGGCACACCUGCUGCUGGGAGGGAGGCCCGGCAGGUGACACCCACAGCAGCCAGGCUCAGAUGCUUCAGAAGAUGCAGGAAUACACAGAAAUGGAUGAUCAUGGAGACCUUUAUCCUCAGGAGAAACUCUUAGUGUGUUUCUGUGCAAUAAAUUGCAGAGGGGUUUGUAUCCUCUUCCAUAAAACCCAGAUGAAAUAAGUGUUUCACUUUGGCACCGAUCUACAUAUUCAUGUUUUUCUGAAUCCUGUUAAAUAUUUGCUCUCAGCAAUAUCCACUGGCAGUGAGCUCUACAGGUUUAUUCUGGAGGCUUUUUG